AUAACAAGAACAACAAAGCAUCACUCAAUAAAAAUAAUAGAGAACGGCUCUGACAGAACAAGAACAACACGGCAGAGGCGUAGCAAGCAGAUUUUUUUGGAGUCGACCCGCGUUCCUGGGGCAAGCCCCGCGAAUUGGCACAGAACAACAAAACUACCUCCAGGUAGCAGCAGCCAACUCGGAUCGUACGUGAUGAAGGUCGGUCAGCGCUCAAAAAAAUACGUUUGCUCUUGGCCCCGAAUGGGGGCCUUGCACCACCCGGGCAGGCUGACAAAAACAACAACAGGCCAGCCCUAAUAAUAAAAAGAGCAAGCAGCAACGCUUUGGGGGGAGCUUCGGCUCCCCUUAGUGCUUAUCCCUCCUCCUUCUGCUUCUCUU
RNAcentral lists this small RNA (378 nucleotides) under Pseudomonas sp. URMO17WK12:I11. Its description in RNAcentral is "CrcZ". It matches the Rfam family "Pseudomonas sRNA CrcZ". Lineage: Bacteria; Pseudomonadati; Pseudomonadota; Gammaproteobacteria; Pseudomonadales; Pseudomonadaceae. The record is from RNAcentral.